UACGGAGGGGGCUAGCGGUGUUCGGAAUUACUGGGCGUAAAGCGCACGUAGGCGGAUUGUUAAGUCGGGGGUGAAAUCCCGGGGCUCAACCCCGGAACUGCCUUCGAUACUGGCAAUCUAGAGUUCUGGAGAGGUGAGUGGAAUUCCGAGUGUAGAGGUGAAAUUCGUAGAUAUUCGGAGGAACACCAGUGGCGAAGGCGGCUCACUGGCCAGACACUGACGCUGAGGUGCGAAAGCGUGGGGAGCAAACAGG
RNAcentral lists this ribosomal RNA (253 nucleotides) under uncultured bacterium. Its description in RNAcentral is "partial 16S ribosomal RNA". It matches the Rfam family "Bacterial small subunit ribosomal RNA", at positions 524 to 776 of the family's 1533-position model. The record is from RNAcentral.